GGCAGGAUAUAACUUUGCCAAAGCACAGAACCCCACACCACUAGAGGGAUAUCCGCAAACCACCAACCAGCCAGGCAGUUGGCUGUUCGUCACUCCAGUCACCUUUGCACCCCUGGGCCAGACUACACUCAAUUGUAGAACCUACUGAAGAGAUGAGUCUUCAAUAAAGACUUAAAGUUUGAGACGGAGUCUGCGUCUCUCACAUGGAUUGGCAGACCAUUCCAUAAAAAUGGAGCUCUAUAGGAGAAAGCCCUGCCUCCAGCUGUUUGCUUAGAAAUUCUAGGGACAAUAAGGAGGCCUGCGUCUUGUGACCGUAGCGUAUGUGUAGAUACAAAGAGCUAUGAAACCCUGUCUGCAGAUGAAGAGGUCCCAAUAAAUGUCCCAACAGAAUAAGGGUACAUCCUUGUAUACCAUGGAUUACAUGUGUACCUAUGGUAGCACAUUUUGUGAAAAAAAUACAAUUUAAAUGUCACACAAUGUAUAAACCUAUAACAGCUGGAGCAGGACAACCCUGCUGGGUGUGCAGGCUUCUGUUCCAGCCCAGCACUAAGACACCUGAUUCAAUAAAUCAAACAUCAUUAGUUAAUAAUCAAGUGUGCUAUUGCUGGGCUGGAACAGAAGUCUGCUCACCCAGUAGAUCAGGUUGGUAUUGACACUUUUUUUUGUUUACCUGAAAUUAUGCUUGGCUAAGAUUAAGAUGGCUAACCUUUACAUAUGAGUUAGCUUACUUGUACACUUUGAAAUGAUAUGCAAUAAAGUGUUGCUUAUUUGAAGUGAAGUGUUUAUUGUUUUAAUUGUUAAAUGAAAAUGUAUUCAAGAUGAACUACUGUUAAUGUUGAUUAAUCACAGAUCACAAUCCUGCAAUAAAGAGGGAAAGGGAAUCUCUAAUUUGUCUGUGUUCCUGUAUUGUAUUCUCAAAUGAACAUGGCCUUUUUGUUCAGUUGUAAGCUUCCAAUUAGGUUUAUUUGAUUGUCACUAUUUCUCAGAAUAUCAGCCAUGUGAACCCAUUUUGCAGCUAAAGAUAAUGGAAUGCAAAAGCAAUGUAGCCAUAGGCCUACAGCAGGGAUUCCUGGACAAACAUACCUGAUUCAACUCAUUGUGGGCCUGACGAUUAGUUGACAAGUUGAAUCAGGUGUGUUUGUCCAGGGCUACAAUACAAAUGCCUACUGUUGGCGAUACUCGAAGACCGGAGUUGGGAACCACUGGCCUACAGUAUGAUGGCAUUAGCCGUAUGGGCAUUUGCAAUGCACCCCUUGUCAUUGUGCAUCUGAAGCAGAGAACACCUUAACUUACACACUGUUUACAUA
Molecule: long non-coding RNA, 1307 nt
Filed under: Salmo salar (Atlantic salmon)
Lineage: Eukaryota; Metazoa; Chordata; Actinopteri; Salmoniformes; Salmonidae
Description: lncRNA (ENSSSAG00000094537.1)
Source: RNAcentral